AAGCGGUGGAUGAUGUGGAUAAUUCGAUGCAACGCGAAAACCUUACCUACCCUUAGACAUGUCCGGAAUCCCGAAGAGAUUUGGGAGUGCUCGCAAGAGAACCGGAACACAGGUGCUGCAUGGCUGUCGUCAGCUCGUGUCGUGAGAUGUUGGGUUAAGUCCCGCAACGAGCGCAACCCUUGUCAUUAGUUGCCAUCAUUUGGUUGGGCACUCUAAUGAGACUGCCGGUGACAAACCGGAGGAAGGUGGGGAUGACGUCAAGUCCUCAUGGCCCUUAUGGGUAGGGCUUCACACGUCAUACAAUGGUCGGUACAGAGGGUUGCCAACCCGCGAGGGGGAGCUAAUCCCACAAAGCCGAUCGUAGUCCGGAUCGCAGUCUGCAACUCGACUGCGUGAAGUCGGAAUCGCUAGUAAUCGUGGAUCAGCAUGUCACGGUGAAUACGUUCCCGGGUCUU
RNAcentral lists this ribosomal RNA (455 nucleotides) under uncultured Rhodocyclaceae bacterium. Its description in RNAcentral is "bacterial SSU rRNA". It matches the Rfam family "Bacterial small subunit ribosomal RNA", at positions 927 to 1382 of the family's 1533-position model. Lineage: Bacteria; Pseudomonadati; Pseudomonadota; Betaproteobacteria; Rhodocyclales; Rhodocyclaceae. The record is from RNAcentral.